AGCAGCCGCGGUAAUUCCAGCUCCAAUAGCGUAUAUUAAAGUUGUUGCAGUUAAAAAGCUCGUAGUUGAAUUUCGGGACCAAUCUGCCGGUCGUGCCUCCGGUACGCACUGGUUUUAUUGGUCUCUCCCUUCUGACGAACCAUGAUGUCAUUAAUUUGGUGUCAUGGGGAAUCAGGACUGUUACUUUGAAAAAAUUAGAGUGUUUAUAGCAGGCCCACGCUUGAAUACAUUAGCAUGGAAUAAUGAAAUAGGACGUUUGACCCUAUUUUGUUGGUUUCUAGGAUCGACGUAAUGAUUAAUAGGGAUAGUUGGGGGGCAUUAGUAUUCAAUUGUCAGAGGUGAAAUUCUUGGAUUUAUUGAAGACUAACUACUGCGAAAGCAUUUGCCAAGGAUGUUUUCAUUAAUCAAGAACGAAAGUUAGGGGAUCGAAGACGAUCAGAUACCGUCGUAGUCUUAACCAUAAACUAUGCCGACUAGGGAUCGGAUGAUGUUAAUUUUUUUAAUGACUCAUUCGGCGCCU
Molecule: ribosomal RNA, 520 nt
Filed under: uncultured Glomus
Lineage: Eukaryota; Fungi; Glomeromycota; Glomeromycetes; Glomerales; Glomeraceae
Description: SSU rRNA
Rfam family: Eukaryotic small subunit ribosomal RNA
Source: RNAcentral